RNAcentral lists this small nuclear RNA (56 nucleotides) under Staphylococcus aureus. RNAcentral's name for it is "SaV26". The record is from RNAcentral. Lineage: Bacteria; Bacillati; Bacillota; Bacilli; Caryophanales; Staphylococcaceae.
AUUUGAGUGAAAUUUGCAUGUAUUUUUUGUAAUAUGCGAAUAAGCAUAUUGAAUGA